UACGUAGGGGGCGAGCGUUAUCCGGAUUCACUGGGUGUAAAGGGAGCGUAGACGGCCAAGCAAGCCAGGGGUGAAAGCCCGGGGCCCAACCCCGGGACUGCCCUUGGAACUGCAUGGCUGGAGUGCGGGAGGGGCAGGCGGAAUUCCUGGUGUAGCGGUGAAAUGCGUAGAUAUCAGGAGGAACACCGGCGGCGAAGGCGGCCUGCUGGAUCGCGACUGACGUUGAGGCUCGAAAGCGUGGGGAGCGAACAGG
RNAcentral lists this ribosomal RNA (253 nucleotides) under uncultured bacterium. RNAcentral's name for it is "partial 16S ribosomal RNA". It matches the Rfam family "Bacterial small subunit ribosomal RNA", at positions 524 to 776 of the family's 1533-position model. The record is from RNAcentral.